This 254-nucleotide ribosomal RNA is filed under the name uncultured bacterium. RNAcentral's name for it is "partial 16S ribosomal RNA". It matches the Rfam family "Bacterial small subunit ribosomal RNA", at positions 524 to 776 of the family's 1533-position model. The record is from RNAcentral.
GACAGAGGUGCCGAGCGUUAGGCGGAAUCACUGGGCUUAAAGCGUGUGUAGGCGGGUCGUUAAGUACCUUGUGAAAUCCCCCCGGCUCAACCGGGGAACGGCUGGGUAUACUGGCGAUCUUGAGCCAGCUAGGGGCAACCGGAACAAACGGUGGAGCGGUGAAAUGCGUAGAUAUCGUUUGGAACGCCAAUGGUGAAAACAGGUUGCUGGGGCUGUGCUGACGCUGAGACACGAAAGCCAGGGGAGCGAACGGG